RNA transcript from Solanum lycopersicum (tomato), 1120 nucleotides. RefSeq lists it as uncharacterized. NCBI's taxonomy places the organism in Eukaryota, Viridiplantae, Streptophyta, Magnoliopsida, Solanales, Solanaceae. The record is from RefSeq and is a predicted model, not a curated record.
ACAAAUUUUAUCCACUUGCCUCGUUUUUUGCAUUAUCCAUCUCCUUUUAACAUACUCUAUUAUUUUUCUCCUCAAAGAAAAAAAGAACUUGAGCAAACAUGAGAAGUCAACAGGAUCAACAAUCAAAGCUUCUUUAUGAGCUUUCUACUUUGAUUUUCAAUAUCCUCCGAUCUCCAACUACGCCCUUUGAGUUUUCCGAUCAGUCACCGGUUAUCCAACGCAGUACACAGUUGCCGACUGUGAGGCCGAUGCAGCAGAUUACUCCUGCCGGCUUUGCUUCCUUGCUUCUCGGUAUUUCUAUGGCUUUGAUGCUAUGUGGAUCUGUAACCUUCUUCAUUGGAUUUUUCAUGAUGCCUUGGAUUAUUGUGUUCGUUAUGCUUUUGUAUCUAGCUGGAAUUGUUUCUGUUUUGUCAAUGAUUGGACGAGCGAUUUUCUGCCCUAUGUCUUCAUCACAAUCGCAUAGUCAACGUUAUUUGCUAGGUAUCAGCUCAUAUAAGUUAAACUCCUUAAUGAUGAAAUCAGAUUGGCUAAAAACAAGUUAAAACUCUUAUAAAGGUGCGGAGGUUUGGCCGGGAGAAUUGGACAGGAAUGAAUGUAAAAGCUUUAUUUCUCGAAAGAAUGAAAAUUGGAAGCGUGUAAAAUAUUGUGAAACAAUUUAAACAAUUGUACUGGCACAGAACAACGGUGAGGAGUAUGGUCGUACUCUUUACUAGAUGCAGUUUCCUGCAAUGUUUAAAGAGUGUAUGGAGGAUGAAUACAUUGCAUGCUGGUGUUUGUUGCUGGAGGACACAGCUUAGGCAUUUGAAAGUGAAAAUAUUUGAUUAGCUACAACUUUACUGUAUAGAAAGACACAAAAUGGAUGUGCCAUGUUAUUUUAUCUUAGUGCAACUAUGUUGUAUUUCUUGUGCCAUUACACAUGUAGAAACAACACCCCACCCCCACCACGUCCCGAGUGAUAUUGCAACUACAAUCAAAGCUUGAUUAGUAUUUCCCUGAUAUAUGAUCAUGCCCAUUGGAACAAUAUUUGAACUUGAAAACUCACUAUCUGCUAUUGCAUAUUCUAUUUUUGUAACAAAAGCCACAUAUUAACUAUGGUGUAUGUUAUUGAUUUUUUCAGUUU